RNAcentral lists this ribosomal RNA (783 nucleotides) under Dictyostelium sp. RNAcentral's name for it is "SSU rRNA". It matches the Rfam family "Eukaryotic small subunit ribosomal RNA", at positions 48 to 836 of the family's 1831-position model. Lineage: Eukaryota; Evosea; Eumycetozoa; Dictyosteliales; Dictyosteliaceae. The record is from RNAcentral.
GCCAUGCAUGUCUAAGUAUAAAUUCUUGUACGAUGAAACUGCAGACGGCUCAUUACAACAGUGAUAAACUGCUAGACUUUCGGGUUUUUAACCUUUUGGAUAACCGCAGUAAAUCGGGGCUAAUACAUAGAAGCGAUGGGUGACUGGCAACGGAAGCUCAGCGAUUAUUAGCAUUACUACCAAUACCUUCGGGUCUUGUGGUGAAACCGAAUAAUAUUGCAGAUCGAGGAUUUAUCUUCGACAAGUCUACUGUGUCACUGCCCUAUCAACUUUCGAUGGUACGGUAUUGGCCUACCAUGGUUGUAACGGGUAACGGGGAAUUAGGGUUCGAUUCCGGAGAGGGAGCCUGAGAAAUGGCUACCACUUCUACGGAAGGCAGCAGGCGCGCAAAUUACUCAAUCCCAAUACGGGGAAGUAGUGACAAUAAAUAUCAAUACCUAUCCUUUUUGGAGGGCAAUUGAAAUGAACACAAAUUAAAACUCUUAAUUAACACAAUUGGAGGGCAAGUCUGGUGCCAGCAGCCGCGGUAAUUCCAGCUCCAAUAGCAUAUACUAAAGUUGUUGCAGUUAAAAAGCUCGUAGUUGAAGUUAAAGUUAUAUUGGGCUAAAGUUUUUUACCACUAUGUGGCUAAAAUAACUCCAAUAUUUCUUUUUUUAAUAGCUCAGUUUCUAGGUCUUUGACUCUAGUUAUUUGGGCAUUUCACUGUGAGAAAAUUGUGGUGUUUAAAGCAGGCGUCUCGUCUGAUCUUUUGCAGCAUGGUAUGAUGGAACAUGACAUUUUACG